UUCGCGCCUGGGCCCUGCAUUUUUCUCCGAGGUGCUUUGUAAAAGGGACUAUUCCUUCAUCUCGGGGAAAUUUUGCAUCAUGGCUCCCCUUUCUGCUUUUCACGGGCAUCGUCUGCCCUCUCCAUGAGACGAACUUCCGAAGCCCCCUCGCUCUCGGCUCGGAGUCCGAACACGAAUGAGUUUGGGGAUUUCGGAGACCCUGUCCCGCUUCUAGCUGAAUUGGGGUGUCCCCUGACUAGAGCACACUUGGGCAAACUUCUCCAUACACGGACCAGGAACGCAGCCCCCGAGAAAGAAUUCUUCACGGCCGCUGCCCCCAGCUUUCGAGACUGCGCCUCUUGUUCCCCAGAAAACCUCGUUUGGGAUAAUGUCUCGCCAUUCCCACCUCACCAUCCCCAGUUCUGAAUCUUCCUUAGGCGAAGGUCAUCUCCGAGAAUGCGACUUCGGUGUUGACGUCAUUUUAGCUGCCGCAUCACUUCCACGGUGCACCUCUUGUCUGUCCCAGAGGAUGGCAGCGAUUUAAGAGUUGUCUCCCUGGCCACAAGCCCCUGGCUCCCACCCCAUGAUGGCUUCUCCAGCUUUGUUUUUUUCUUUAAUAGAUGAAGAAAGAGAGUUUAUCCUGACAGAACAGAGAGAUCUCUGGAACGAGUGAUGGAAGGGCCCUAAGAACAGACAUUUCCUUCUUAAGUUGAGUUAGCAAAUAUUACUAACCAAACUGUGUGCCCCCCCAAACCCCCCCAUAAUUUGAGAAAUUGGAAUAAGCAAAUUAAGAUGUUGGGAUGAGAACUGUUAUCUGAGUUAUGUAACAUCUUGCUCUUACCCAUCGUAAAGCCAAUGAAGCUCAGUUUCUAACAUGCCCACUCUCAUAACUUCCCAAAUGUGCUAUUUUUGUAAUUAUAAAAUUGUCCUUCCCUGAGGUAGUAUAGGCUGAGGGGGAAUGAAAGGUGAUAAUGUUGUGACCACUCUCGGGUGGUUAGACAGGUACUGAUGCCUAGGGACAGGUAACAAAAUCUGAUGUAGCAGGCAAGCUUACAUAGCUGUAUGUAAAGCAGCCCAGGGAAUAGAGCCUGGAUAAUAGGACUCAGGUAGGCCACAUGCACGUCCCUUGUUGUAAAUGCUUUUGCAAUAUUUUAAAUAAAUAUGAGCAGCUAAUUUUCCCAGUAAGAAACUGUCCUGUAGGGUGACAAUAGCAGAGUUGAGUUGGCAGCAUGCUUUGCUUUGCUUUUCUUUUCUUUUAAAGAUCCAAGUGAAACAGCUGUGGCAGCAGUCAAGAAAGCUUGAGCAGCCCAUGUUUGAGAGAGGAACCCCUGCACAGCCUUAGAGAAGACCUUGAAGAGACGAUGUCAGAGAAGGAGGUUUGUGAGGACCCAGUUAAAGGAAGCAGUUUACGGCUUCUCUUUGGCGUAUCCAAAUUGUCAGCAUCAUUACUCUUGCACUUUGAGGCCGUUAUUAAAUAAAAUAAGGGUGACUUGAACACCAGCACUGUGACACCACGACAGAAGAUCUGAGAACCCAGACAGCUACUAAGGAACUAACAGGCGGGUAGCGUAUACAGUGUGGAUCCAAUGGACAAGAGGGUGAUUCAUGUCUGUCCCCGGCAGGACAGAGUGUGAUAACUGGAGAUUUCAUAACACUGCUCAGAACGGUGCACAAUUUGAAACUUAUGAAUUGUUCAUUUCUGGAAUUUUCCACUUAAUAUUUUUGGAGCUCAUUGACUGCACGUAACUGAAACCGCAGAAAGGGAAACCGCUUUACGGCAACAUCAUGUUGCCAGUACAAACGUUCACUGCAGCAGGCCAUGAAAGGAAAGGCUGAGAGAUGAGGCUAUGUAAUAUUAGCAAUGUCUGCCUGUCAAAAGAUCAUUAAAAUAUUUAAAAAGCAAACUGGAAAAAUAUUCAUUAUGUGUGACAAGAGUUCUUACAAAUGAAGAAGAAAAUUUAAUAGAAAGAUGAGCAAAAGGCUUGAAUGGAGAACUCCUAAAAGAAAUUGUCACUAAAUCUAUGGAAAAAAUAUUCUCAGCUUCACACUAAAAAGUUAAAAUGGGGGCCGGCCCCGUGGCUGAGUGGUUAAGUUCGCGCGCUCCACUGCAGGCGGCCCAGCGUUUCGUUGGUUCGA
Equus caballus (horse) is the source of this 2115-nucleotide non-coding RNA. NCBI's taxonomy places the organism in Eukaryota, Metazoa, Chordata, Mammalia, Perissodactyla, Equidae. The record is from RefSeq and is a predicted model, not a curated record.